RNAcentral lists this long non-coding RNA (656 nucleotides) under Vitis vinifera (wine grape). Its description in RNAcentral is "long non-coding RNA (VVIN_LNC001438)". The record is from RNAcentral. Lineage: Eukaryota; Viridiplantae; Streptophyta; Magnoliopsida; Vitales; Vitaceae.
UGAAUUCCAGUCCCCCCCACCAAGUUUUCUUCAAGCGUGAGAAUAUGUAGGAGUCCAUAGUGGUUCCCCAUUUGAAUAGUUUGCAACUGUAAAUUUGACAUAAUGACUGAGUGAAGAAUUGAUGAUUGUCUACUUCUUCUCCUCUUUUAAGCUGUUGGAAUUAAAUGUUGGUCCUAUACAUAUACAUAUACAUAUAAAUGAAUGAAGUGAGCCAAUUAAUUGGGGCAUUCAAAAAGGCAAGCUGUAACUGGAAGAGGUAAUGAUGAGUUAAAUCCAAAUUCCUUGAGAAAAAGAAAAAUAAUCCGGUACAGCUGAGGAAGCCAGCAAGGGGUGACCCGCAAAUGAAGAUUGGUCGAGUGAAGAGUAGCUGAUGAGCAGUGGAGAGCCACGCACCAGAUUAGCUAGGCAUAUGGUGGGUGGGAAGUUGGAUUUCAGUCAGGGAGAAGUGGAAGCAUUUGGUUCACAGAAUAUGCAGCACCUGUCAUAACAUCAUCAACAACUGGGCAUAUGAUAUGUAUUGAUCUGAGGCCUUUUUCUGCAUUGACUCUGUAGAUAUAUGGUCCCAGAAAAUACCGGUUUGCACAUGGCCAUGGUGGAUCCAAUCCAUAAAAGUCACUUAUAUUUAUGGGUUCAAGAAGGUAGCAUCUAUAUGUCAC